UGAAGAGGAACUAAAGAUAGGCUUAUACAGAACACGGGUCUGGUCAAACAGCUGUCUCUAUUUGCAGAAACUCUGAAUUUAGGGGAUGUUUUGUAAUUCACAUUGACGGUGUAGUUGGGAGUUAACAAAAUUUAAUUCAAGAGCACAAGGAAAGGGAAGAUGGCAUUUAAUCUCUGUCACUCAGGUUUCCUGAUUUCACCUAGUGCUAUUCUCAAACCACUUGCUUGUGAGCUCCGAGAUGGGAAUUCAGCCUGGCUGAAGAGCCAUAUGGGAGACAAAGAAUGCUGACUACUGAGCAAUUGCCUCGCCACCUGCAGCCUUUCCGCCUGCUGGGACAGCAGGAAGUGUUCUGCCACGUGCUGCAAUCUCACCACCGUCCUCCUGUUAUCAGAGCUCAGGUCUCCUGCUGACAAGUCACCAAGCUGUAGCCCUAUUGGAGCUCAAGCCUGCUGCUCUUGAUGCAGACAGCACAUUCCUCAGCAUUUACCAGUUUGAUUGCUGUUAUCAAUACAUGCUUCAACCCUUG
RNAcentral lists this long non-coding RNA (526 nucleotides) under Gallus gallus (chicken). RNAcentral's name for it is "long non-coding RNA NONGGAT001170". The record is from RNAcentral. Lineage: Eukaryota; Metazoa; Chordata; Aves; Galliformes; Phasianidae.